AGAGUUUGAUCAUGGCUCAGAGCGAACGCUGGCGGCGUGCUUAACACAUGCAAGUCGAGUGCGCGGUUGUAGCAAUACAACUGGCGCACGGCGCACGGGUGCGUAACACGUGGGUAAUCUGCCCUCUGAUGGGGGAAUAACUCGCCGAAAGGCGAGCUAAUACCGCAUAACAUUCCUUGGACUCCGGUUCGAGGAUUCAAAGGCGUAAGUCGUCGGAGGUGGAGCCCGCGCACGAUUAGCUAGUUGGUAGGGUAAAGGCCUACCAAGGCUAUGAUCGUUAGCUGGUCUGAGAGGAUGGCCAGCCACACUGGAACUGAGACACGGUCCAGACUCCUACGGGAGGCAGCAGUGGGGAAUCUUGCACAAUGGGCGAAAGCCUGAUGCAGCGACGCCGCGUGGGGGAUGAAGCUUCUCGGAGUGUAAACCCCUUUCGACCGGGACGAAUACCUCGCAAGAGGGGUGACGGUACCGGUAUAAGAAGCCCCGGCUAACUACGUGCCAGCAGCCGCGGUAAGACGUAGGGGGCCAGCGUUGCUCGGAAUUACUGGGUGUAAAGGGUUCGUAGGCGGUGUGGCAAGUCGGGAGUGAAAUCUCUGGGCUCAACUCAGGGGCUGCUUCCGAAACUGCCGUGCUAGAGUGUGGGAGAGGCGCGUGGAAUUGCAGGUGUAGCGGUGAAAUGCGUAGAUAUCUGCAGGAACACCCGUGGCGAAAGCGGCGCGCUGGACCACUACUGACGCUGAGGAACGAAAGCUAGGGGAGCAAACAGGAUUAGAUACCCUAGUAGUCC
This 787-nucleotide ribosomal RNA is filed under the name uncultured bacterium. RNAcentral describes it as "bacterial SSU rRNA". It matches the Rfam family "Bacterial small subunit ribosomal RNA", at positions 8 to 796 of the family's 1533-position model. The record is from RNAcentral.